CGCCGCCGAAGCCGCCCGACCGCCCAGCUUGGCGUCCGCCCCGCCGCCCGCCGUUCCUUUUCUGCUUCCCGACGGCCUAAUGCAAACAAUGACAAUGAUCAGCACAUGUAAAGCCGCUUUUAUCUAUGGGGAACCCAGAGACUGUUGCUCCCCCACCAAUGCUUGAUUGUAGCCAAUCAUUUGCUGACGAUUCUAAAUUAUUGAGCUUCUGCUACAAACUGAAGUAAAUCCUCUAUGUCUUCGCAUUGUGGACUUGGGCACUGAACUUUCAAAAACAGUAUGACCUCGACCCUUUAA
Molecule: long non-coding RNA, 297 nt
Organism: Triticum dicoccoides
Lineage: Eukaryota; Viridiplantae; Streptophyta; Magnoliopsida; Poales; Poaceae
Exons: 3
Source: RefSeq, a predicted model, not a curated record